GUUCCAGCUACAAAAUAUCCAUUCUUUUCAGGGGCACAUCAGUGCUUGUGUUCAGCCACCCUUUACUUAGUAAUAGCCCUGAAGCACAAGAAUACACAAGAAUAGUGAUGCUGGCAAUUUUAUUGUAGUAUAUUAUUAUAUUUGUACUAUUACAAAUAUAUAUUAUAAAUAUAUAUGUGCACUUUUAUACACACAAACACACACACACGCACUGGUGACCAGACCCAGGUCCUGACACAUGCAAGGCAAGCAUUCUACCACUAAGCUAUCCCUCCAGCUCUGUUGUUAAUCUCUUAUUGUGCCUAAUCCUAUAAAUUAUCCUAAGUAUGUAUGUACAGUCAUGUGUAGGUAAGAGACAAGGAUACACUGAGAAAUGUGUCCUUCACUGUACAAACAUCAUAAGAUAUUCUCAAACUAAGUUACAACAUCACUAGGAAUAUAACCUUAUGGACUACUGCUAUUGACCAAACCAUCUAUUAUUUAGUACAUAACUGCAUAUAUAUAUAUGGUUUGGGACUGUUGUCUCAGGCAUCCACUGGGGGUCUUAGAAUGUAGCGCCUGUGGAUACAGUGGGAUUAUUAUUUAGGCCAGCAUCCCUUAUGAAUACUGAUGCAAAUUCCUCACUUCAAAUACUUGAAACUGAAUGCAACAGAUUGAAAAGGAUUAUACACUAUGACCAAGUGGGACUGAUUCCUAGAAUGCAGGGAUGACAAAAUAUAAAAAUAAAUAUAAUACAUUAUAUUAAUGGGGGGAUGUUGAGAGCCACAGCCGAAGGGGCCCCAGCAAACUUUUAGCUGCCAGCAAACUUCCAGCUGCCAGCUGAUGAUUGGCUCACAGCGGCCCCAGCAAACUUCUAGCUGCCAACUGAUUGGCUCCUCUGUGGUGAUGCUCAUUGGGCUGUUUCCCCACCUUUCAGAUCAGGAGCUGCUCACUGGGGGACUUUUGUUUGGCUCCGCCCACGCGACCCAGCCAACCGGCCUCAAGAGCAGGAGGAGAGGGGGAGGUGGAGAGGCUUGUGGGAGAGGCUUGUGGGAAGCUGGUGGUGGCAGUUGGGCUCUGAGGGAAUUCAUGAAGAGCUGUGUGGUGCGCUGUGUGUGUUCUAAAAAUAAUGUUCGUUUCUUUUGACAAGUAGCUCCUGAAUUGUGCCCAGCCAGACUGCGGCAGGGGGACAUUACUCGAUCAUCUCAGUGAGAAAAGGCAUUUGAUAAAACUUAACUCCCUUUUAUGAUUGAAAAUACACUCAACAAACUAGUAGAAGGAAGCUACCUCAAUACAAUAAAAUCCAUAUAUGAAAAUCCCACAGUGCUCAUCAUACUCAGUGGAGAAAGACAAAAGUGUUUCCUUCUAAGUUUAGUAGCAAGAUGAGGAUGCUCACC
Molecule: long non-coding RNA, 1376 nt
Filed under: Marmota monax (woodchuck)
Lineage: Eukaryota; Metazoa; Chordata; Mammalia; Rodentia; Sciuridae
Source: RNAcentral